RNAcentral lists this ribosomal RNA (467 nucleotides) under uncultured bacterium. RNAcentral's name for it is "bacterial SSU rRNA". It matches the Rfam family "Bacterial small subunit ribosomal RNA", at positions 28 to 524 of the family's 1533-position model. The record is from RNAcentral.
GACGAACGCUGGCGGCAUGCCUAACACAUGCAAGUCUAGGGGUAGCAAUACCACUGGCGCACGGGUGAGUAACACGUAGGUUAUCUGCCCCCAUCACAGACAUAACCCCGGGGAACCGGGGCUAAUAUCUGAUGAGGUCGCGAGAUCAAAGCUUCGGCGGAUGGGGAUGAGCCUGCGGCUGAUUAGCUAGUUGGUGAGGUAAUGGCUCACCAAGGCGACGAUCAGUAGCUGGUCUGAGAGGACGAACAGCCACACUGGAACUGAGACACGGUCCAGACUCCUACGGGAGGCAGCAGUGAGGAAUAUUGGUCAAUGGGAGCAAUCCUGAACCAGCAAUGCCGCGUGUGGGAUGACAGGGCUUCGCCUUGUAAACCACUGUCGGACGGGACGAAAGGAGGCCUCGGGGCCUCUGGGACGGUACCGUCAAAGGAAGGGUCGGCUAACUACGUGCCAGCAGCCGCGGUAAU